CAGUCGCCACGGUAAAACGGAGGGUGCAAGCGUUAUCCGGAUUUAUUGGGUUUAAAGGGUCCGUAGGCGGACUUAUAAGUCAGUGGUGAAAGCCUGUCGCUUAACGAUAGAACUGCCAUUGAUACUGUAAGUCUUGAGUAUAUUUGAGGUAGCUGGAAUAAGUAGUGUAGCGGUGAAAUGCAUAGAUAUUACUUAGAACACCAAUUGCGAAGGCAGGUUACCAAGAUAUAACUGACGCUGAGGGACGAAAGCGUGGGUAGCGAACAGGAUUAGAUACCCGAGUAGUCCCUGUCUCUUAUAA
This 301-nucleotide ribosomal RNA is filed under the name uncultured bacterium. Its description in RNAcentral is "partial 16S ribosomal RNA". It matches the Rfam family "Bacterial small subunit ribosomal RNA", at positions 509 to 809 of the family's 1533-position model. The record is from RNAcentral.